This 301-nucleotide ribosomal RNA is filed under the name uncultured bacterium. RNAcentral's name for it is "partial 16S ribosomal RNA". It matches the Rfam family "Bacterial small subunit ribosomal RNA", at positions 509 to 807 of the family's 1533-position model. The record is from RNAcentral.
CAGCCGCCGCGGGAAUACAGAGGGUGCGAGCGUUAAUCGGAUUUACUGGGCGUAAAGCGUGCGUAGGCGGCUAAUUGAGUCGGAUGUGAAAUCCCCGAGCUUAACUUGGGAAUUGCAUUCGAUACUGGUUAGCUAGAGUGUGGGAGAGGAUGGUAGAAUUCCAGGUGUAGCGGUGAAAUGCGUAGAGAUCUGGAGGAAUACCGAUGGCGAAGGCAGCCAUCUGGCCUAACACUGACGCUGAGGUACGAAAGCAUGGGGAGCAAAAAGGAUUAGAUACCCGAGUAGUCCCUGUCUCUUAUAC